Long non-coding RNA from Oncorhynchus keta (chum salmon), 999 nucleotides. RefSeq lists it as uncharacterized. The record is from RefSeq and is a predicted model, not a curated record. Lineage: Eukaryota; Metazoa; Chordata; Actinopteri; Salmoniformes; Salmonidae. The transcript is spliced from 3 exons.
UCAGGGAGAAGAACACAGAGACCCAAGGUCAGAGGUCUGCUCAGAGCCAUUAACCUAAAACAUCAGGGAGAAGAACACAGAGACCCAAAGUCAGAGGUCUGCUCAGAGCCAUUAACCUAAAACAUCAGGGAGAAGAACACAGAGACCCAAGGUCAGAGGUCUGCUCAGAGCCAUUAACCUAAAACAUCAGGGAGAAGAACACAGAGACCCAAGGUCAGAGGUCUGCUCAGAGCCAUUAACCUAAAACAUCAGGGAGAAGAACACAGAGACCCAAGGUCAGAGGUCUGCUCAGAGCCAUUAACCUAAAACAUCAGGGAGAAGAACACAGAGACCCAAAGUCAGAGGUCUGCUCAGAGCCAUUAACCUAAAACAUCAGGGAGAAGAACACAGAGACCCAAAGUCAGAGGUCUGCUCAGAGCCAUUAACCUAAAACAUCAGGGAGAAGAACACAGAGACCCAAGGUCAGAGGUCUGCUCAGAGCCAUUAACCUAAAACAUCAGGGAGAAGAACACAGAGACCCAAAGUCAGAGGUCUGCUCAGAGCCAUUAACCUAAAACAUCAGGGAGAAGAACACAGAGACCCAAAGUCAGAGGUCUGCUCAGAGCCAUUAACCUAAAACAUCAGGGAGAAGAACACAGAGACCCAAAGUCAGAGGUCUGCUCAGAGCCAUUAACCUAAACCAUCAGGGAGAAGAACACAGAGACCCAAAGGGACAGUAAAUCACUGGUGUCAUACAAACAGAAGAACAGGAAACAUCUGCUCAUAAAUGACAUGAUGGGAACCUUUACUGUCAACGGGAUCGACAAGAAUACAAGCUGUUGAAAAGCAGCAUGCAGAAUAUGUGAAUGUGUCAUUUGAACAGCUUGACUCUUGCCACUUUGUUGCCAGUUGAGGGAUGGAACGGAAACGUAACCUCUCUCAAAUGAGACAGAUGGAACGAUUGAUGACAGGACUAACAGGAAAUCAACAUGCUAGUUUAUACAGAAGCUAUUGGUGUGU